Molecule: ribosomal RNA, 719 nt
Filed under: Sphaerulina vaccinii
Lineage: Eukaryota; Fungi; Ascomycota; Dothideomycetes; Mycosphaerellales; Mycosphaerellaceae
Description: Sphaerulina sp. SA-2020a partial large subunit ribosomal RNA
Rfam family: Eukaryotic large subunit ribosomal RNA
Source: RNAcentral
CUGGCGCAAGCCCGAGUUGUAAUUUGUAGAGGAUGCUUCUGGGUAGCGACCGGUCUAAGUUCCUUGGAACAGGACGUCAUAGAGGGUGAGAAUCCCGUAUGUGACCGGCCCGCACCCUUUACGUAGCUCCUUCGACGAGUCGAGUUGUUUGGGAAUGCAGCUCUAAAUGGGAGGUAAAUUUCUUCUAAAGCUAAAUACCGGCCAGAGACCGAUAGCGCACAAGUAGAGUGAUCGAAAGAUGAAAAGUACUUUGGAAAGAGAGUUAAAAAGCACGUGAAAUUGUUGAAAGGGAAGCGCCUGCAAUCAGACUUCGCGGCAGUGUUCCGCCGGCCUUCUGGCCGGUUCAUUCUCUGUCGCGAGGCCAUCAUCGUCUCGGCCCGCUGGAUAAGACCUUGGGAAUGUAGCUCACCUUCGGGGGAGUGUUAUAGCUCAUGGUGAUGCAGCGAGGCUGGGGCGAGGUCCGCGCUUCGGCAAGGAUGAUGGCGUAAUGGUUGUCGGCGGCCCGUCUUGAAACACGGACCAAGGAGUCUAACAUCUAUGCGAGUGUUCGGGUGUCAAACCCCUACGCGUAAUGAAAGUGAACGGAGGUGGGAACCGCAAGGUGCACCAUCGACCGAUCCUGAUGUCCUCGGAUGGAUUUGAGUAAGAGCAUAGCUGUUGGGACCCGAAAGAUGGUGAACUAUGCCUGAAUAGGGUGAAGCCAGAGGAAACUCUGGUGG